RNAcentral lists this ribosomal RNA (159 nucleotides) under Enterolobium cyclocarpum (elephant ear tree). Its description in RNAcentral is "5.8S ribosomal RNA". It matches the Rfam family "5.8S ribosomal RNA". From Rfam's summary of the family: 5.8S ribosomal RNA (5.8S rRNA) is a component of the large subunit of the eukaryotic ribosome. It is transcribed by RNA polymerase I as part of the 45S precursor that also contains 18S and 28S rRNA. The record is from RNAcentral. RNAcentral also lists the same sequence under 1 other name. Lineage: Eukaryota; Viridiplantae; Streptophyta; Magnoliopsida; Fabales; Fabaceae.
CGACUCUCGGCAACGGAUAUCUCGGCUCUCGCAUCGAUGAAGAACGUAGCGAAAUGCGAUACUUGGUGUGAAUUGCAGAAUCCCGUGAACCAUCGAGUCUUUGAACGCAAGUUGCGCCCGAGGCCACUAGGCCGAGGGCACGCCUGCCUGGGUGUCACG